AGUUGGUGGUGUGAAUUGUCUGGUUGAUUCCGUUAACGAACGAGACCUUUACUAGUAAAUAGUCACGGGAAGGUUUUGCGUAAAGAUGUUGAGGGCCAUCCACUGGAAGGAUCCGUUCCCCAGAGGAUGCCGAUCCUCAGCAUUGCAUUUCUUCCUGGAAGUACUUCUUACUGGGACUAUUUGUGAUAAGCAAAUGGAAGUUGGAGGCCAAAACAGG
RNAcentral lists this ribosomal RNA (217 nucleotides) under uncultured eukaryote. Its description in RNAcentral is "partial small subunit ribosomal RNA". It matches the Rfam family "Eukaryotic small subunit ribosomal RNA", at positions 1296 to 1460 of the family's 1831-position model. The record is from RNAcentral.